UGCGUAGGCGGAAUAUUAAGUCAGUAGUGAAAUCCCGCAGCUUAACUGUGGAACUGUUAUUGAUACUGGUUUUCUUGAAUAUAGUUGAGGUAGGCGGAAUGUGUAAUGUAGCGGUGAAAUGCUUAGAUAUUACACAGAACACCGAUUGCGAAGGCAGCUUACUAAGCUAUGAUUGACGCUGAGGUACGAAAGCGUGGGGAGCGAACAGGAUUAGAUACCCUGGUAGUC
This 228-nucleotide ribosomal RNA is filed under the name uncultured bacterium. RNAcentral describes it as "partial 16S ribosomal RNA". It matches the Rfam family "Bacterial small subunit ribosomal RNA", at positions 568 to 795 of the family's 1533-position model. The record is from RNAcentral.